RNAcentral lists this non-coding RNA (31 nucleotides) under Mus musculus (house mouse). Lineage: Eukaryota; Metazoa; Chordata; Mammalia; Rodentia; Muridae. The record is from RNAcentral.
UUUCAAGUUGGUUUUACCCUUGACUUUGGGC